AUCUCCAAGGAGCGUUGCAGCUCGCCGCCCAUCAAGGUUGCGAGUCAGGCUUGGAGUUCAAUCUGGGGCAUGCCCCAUUCUUAUUGCAAACCACGCUCACCUGCG
This 105-nucleotide non-coding RNA is filed under the name Limnohabitans sp. 103DPR2. RNAcentral's name for it is "SAH (S-adenosyl-L-homocysteine) riboswitch aptamer". It matches the Rfam family "SAH (S-adenosyl-L-homocysteine) riboswitch aptamer". Lineage: Bacteria; Pseudomonadati; Pseudomonadota; Betaproteobacteria; Burkholderiales; Comamonadaceae. The record is from Rfam by way of RNAcentral. RNAcentral also lists the same sequence under 1 other name.